AUAAAGAUAAGCUAAAUUAAAAAGCUUUUUGGUUCAUACCCAAACUAUAGGGCACCCUUUUUUAU
This 65-nucleotide transfer RNA is filed under the name Dinocampus coccinellae. Its description in RNAcentral is "tRNA-Met". The record is from RNAcentral. Lineage: Eukaryota; Metazoa; Arthropoda; Insecta; Hymenoptera; Braconidae.